AGUGGACUAGUCAGAUCACUGU
RNAcentral lists this small nuclear RNA (22 nucleotides) under Arabidopsis thaliana (thale cress). RNAcentral's name for it is "snRNA_01025". Lineage: Eukaryota; Viridiplantae; Streptophyta; Magnoliopsida; Brassicales; Brassicaceae. The record is from RNAcentral.